This 114-nucleotide ribosomal RNA is filed under the name uncultured bacterium. Its description in RNAcentral is "partial 16S ribosomal RNA". It matches the Rfam family "Bacterial small subunit ribosomal RNA", at positions 1360 to 1482 of the family's 1533-position model. The record is from RNAcentral.
CGGUGAAUACGUUCCCGGGCCUUGUACACACCGCCCGUCACGUCAUGAAAGUUGGAGACGCCUGAAGUCGGUAACCGCAAGGAGCCGCCUAGGGUAAAACUAGUAACUGGGGCU